UGUAUACUCCCUCCGUCUGAAAAAGCUUGUCCCUCAAAUGGAUGUAUCUAGCACCAAGUUAGUGCUAGAUACAUCCAUUUGAUGGACAAGCUUGGGACAAGUUUUUUCGGACGGAGGGAGUAGAAC
Molecule: non-coding RNA, 126 nt
Organism: Triticum urartu
Lineage: Eukaryota; Viridiplantae; Streptophyta; Magnoliopsida; Poales; Poaceae
Source: Rfam